GACGAACGCUGGCGGCGUGCUUAACACAUGCAAGUCGAACGGAAAGGCCCUGCUCUUGUGCGGUGCUCGAGAGGCGAACGCGUGAGUAUAACGUGUGUAACCUGCCCUUGUCUUUGGGAUAACACCUGGAAACUCGGGCUAAUACCGGAUAUGAGCUCUUGAUGCACGGUGGGGGUUGGUAAGAUUCGGCGGUUGGGGAUGGACUCGCGGGUUAUCAGCUUGUUGGUGGGGUAGUGGCUUACCACGGCUUUGACGGGUAGCCGGCAUGGGAGUGUGACCGGGCACAAUGGGACUGAGGUAGGGACCAGACGGCUACGGGAGGCAGCGGUGGGAAAUAUUGCACAAUGGGCGGAAGCCUGAUGCAACAACGCCGGGUGCGGAAUGACGGCUUUUGGGGUGUAAACCGCUUGCGCCUGUGACGAAGCGUGAGUGACGGUAACGGGUAAGGAAGCACCGGCUAACUACGUG
This 468-nucleotide ribosomal RNA is filed under the name uncultured bacterium. RNAcentral's name for it is "partial 16S ribosomal RNA". It matches the Rfam family "Bacterial small subunit ribosomal RNA", at positions 28 to 507 of the family's 1533-position model. The record is from RNAcentral.